This is a long non-coding RNA of Daphnia pulex (common water flea), 752 nucleotides long. RefSeq lists it as uncharacterized. The transcript is spliced from 3 exons. The record is from RefSeq and is a predicted model, not a curated record. NCBI's taxonomy places the organism in Eukaryota, Metazoa, Arthropoda, Branchiopoda, Diplostraca, Daphniidae.
AAACAGAAGCUGCUUUAACAGUAUACAUGGGUCGGAACUUAUAAAAAGGGUAGACUAGUUCGCUUGAAUUCAUUACAAGUUCUUCAGGAAUUAAAAAAAUCACUAGUACUUUUCUUCCAAGGCAGUAGCCUCCAAAUCAAUAGUAGCAAGUUAGCAACAAUGGUUUCCAGAAAGGUGCCUUCCCUUUUUCUCCUGGUCGUUUCGCUCUUCGUACUUAUUAACUUCAUCGAUGUUGCUUAUUCGCAAGACUGCCGGCACGGAUUUCGGGUAAAUAGCGGAGAUACCUGUUGGUCUACCGCCCAAAAAUGUGGCAUCUCCCUGCAAACGCUUUUUCACCACAACGGACUUACAGAUUGGGGAAGAAAUUGCAACAAUCUUCAGCCGGGCCAUUUUCUUUGCUGCACUAACUGGAACGGGCGAAAAUAAAGAAAAAUUCAUCAAUAAUGAAAGUCAUUUCCGCGUUUCAAAAUUAAAUCUUUUGAAAAAUAAAAAUGAAAUGGAAUAUGAAAUCUAUAUCAUCUAAUCCUUAUAUAAUUUUUGAUUGGGCUUCAUUUGCAUUUAACGUCUUGAGAUACAUUUCUUUCUUCCCUUGUGUUGAAUUUUCCGAAUUGUUUUCGACUUUCCAUAUAAUGCUAAAACCUUUUUGUUGCCCUUUCUCUAAACACUUAAUGGCUUAUUCAAACACAUAUAGUCGCAUUGCAUUAUUUUAUUAUGACUCGCAACGUCCGCAAAAUAUAAAACCAGCAAAGAAA